Molecule: transfer RNA, 72 nt
Filed under: Ixodes scapularis (black-legged tick)
Lineage: Eukaryota; Metazoa; Arthropoda; Arachnida; Ixodida; Ixodidae
Description: tRNA-Glu
Rfam family: tRNA
About the family: Transfer RNA (tRNA) molecules are approximately 80 nucleotides in length. Their secondary structure includes four short double-helical elements and three loops (D, anti-codon, and T loops). Further hydrogen bonds mediate the characteristic L-shaped molecular structure. tRNAs have two regions of fundamental functional importance: the anti-codon, which is responsible for specific mRNA codon recognition, and the 3' end, to which the tRNAs corresponding amino acid is attached (by aminoacyl-tRNA synthetases). tRNAs cope with the degeneracy of the genetic code in two manners: having more than one tRNA (with a specific anti-codon) for a particular amino acid; and 'wobble' base-pairing, i.e. permitting non-standard base-pairing at the 3rd anti-codon position.
Source: RNAcentral
ACCGGCGUGGUCUAGUGGCUAGGAUACCUGGCUUUCACCUAGGAGGCCCGGGUUCGAUUCCCGGUGUGGGAA